GCCCCGGUGGCGCAGUGGUUAAAGCAUUCAGCUGCUAAUGGAAAGGUUGUGGGUUCGAACCCACCAGCCGCU
RNAcentral lists this transfer RNA (72 nucleotides) under Loxodonta africana (African savanna elephant). It matches the Rfam family "tRNA". Rfam says of the family: Transfer RNA (tRNA) molecules are approximately 80 nucleotides in length. Lineage: Eukaryota; Metazoa; Chordata; Mammalia; Proboscidea; Elephantidae. The record is from Rfam by way of RNAcentral.